Molecule: long non-coding RNA, 240 nt
Filed under: Bos taurus (domestic cattle)
Lineage: Eukaryota; Metazoa; Chordata; Mammalia; Artiodactyla; Bovidae
Description: long non-coding RNA NONBTAT022612
Source: RNAcentral
AUUCCCAAACGUAUUUCUAGGGUGCAGGACCAAACAACUUAACCAAACAUUAGGAUCUUUAAUUUUUAGAAUGUUUUUGUUGUGUUGAGACAUACUUAGCCACAUCUAAGUCCCAGCAUGGCAGAUCUUGGUAAUUUCCCAUCAGUCCCACGUGCACAGGCCUCCCAUGGCUUAAGUGACGUGAACUUACAGCUGCACAUGAUGCUGAUGUUUAGCAACAAGAGGUGAGGGCUUAAACUG